AAGGAAAGGAACGGUCUCACCAGAUGCAGCACUCUAAAUCCUCCUCCCAUCUCAACUACUCUAAUCAACCAGCUUAUAAAAGAAAUCCAUGCGAGUUAAAAUCCAAACAAAACGAACUUGAUCCAUAGGCAUAAAAGAGAAAAUGAAACUAGAUCUACUGGAUCCAAUUCUUGAAAAAUCUGGGAUCGAAGAUCGCAAAACGAAAAUGUGAAACUUACUAGCUGUUUGAGAUGUGUGGAAUCAGGCUUGGAAAGAGGAGAUCUAAACCAUGGGGACGGAGAGAUCGAGUGCAGGGAAAGUAAAGGAAUCCCGCUUGC
RNAcentral lists this unclassified non-coding RNA (317 nucleotides) under Hevea brasiliensis (rubber tree). Lineage: Eukaryota; Viridiplantae; Streptophyta; Magnoliopsida; Malpighiales; Euphorbiaceae. The record is from RNAcentral.